CUAUUGUUCGAGAUGCCAAAGUUCGUUUCCGUGGAUGGACAGUCGUGCAAUGUAUUUAAUUAAUUACGAAAGGACCACUAAGAACAGGGGCUUUCGAAAGCUAAUAUUGGCUUCGACAAUAUUUUUCUAUUGAAGCAGGAUUAAAUAUGAAAUUUCAAAUCUGCUCAUCACUUGCUCAAAAUAUCGUUAAAUGUGUCUCCUGGUCGACGAGAGUUAAUGAUCAGUGAGAUGAGUCGGAGCGAAUCGUCAUUCAGCAUGGAAAGCACUCCCAUGUGGCUCGCGCACCACAUGGACUCGACGAAUUACAGCGAAGUUAUUCAUGGCGAAAUUUCACGGUUCCCGAAGCCUCUGCGAACCUUUGCAGCUGUGGCUGCAAUUAUCAUAAUGAUAACCGGACUCGUUGGAAAUUUGUUAACGAUCGUUGCACUCUGUCGAUAUCCAAAAGUGCGAAACGUCGCUGCCGCUUUUAUUGUGAGCCUUUGCGUGGCGGAUUUCAUUUUCUGUUUGCUCGUCCUGCCAUUCGAUUCAACGAGAUUCAUCGAUGCUGGCUGGGCGGAAGUUAGAUUCUUAUGUGCACUUGUGCCGUUUCUUCGAUACGGAAAUGUCGGAGUUAGUCUUCUCUCUGUUGGUGCCAUUACCGUCAACAGAUACAUAAUGAUAACUCAUCACGGUCUUUACAAUAAAGUGUACAAAAAGCACUGGAUCGCGCUGAUGAUCCUAUUCUGUUGGGUAUUCUCUUACGGGAUGCAAUUACCAACGCUAAUUGGUGUCUGGGGCAAAUUCGACUACGACCCCAACUUGGAGACCUGCUCAAUCGUUAAGGAUGCAAACGGACGCAGCUCGAAGACCUUUCUCUUCGUAAUCGCGUUCAUCAUUCCGUGCAUAGUAAUAGUCGCCUGUUACGCCAAAAUAUUUUGGGUCGUUCAUAGCUCGGAGUCAAGGAUGCGGAAACACGCGAAUCCGACAAUCAAAUCACCGCACACACCGGGACGUGACACACGGGAGAUGAAGCAACGUCGGAGCGAGUGGAGAAUCACAAAAAUGGUACUCGCGAUAUUCCUCAGUUUCGUUGCCUGCUACCUUCCGAUCACGAUCGUCAAAGUUACCGAUCACGAGGUCAAAUAUCCGGAGGCUCACGUCAUGGGGUAUUUGUUGCUGUACUUCGCCUCGUGCGUUAAUCCAAUAAUCUACGUCAUCAUGAAUAAGCAGUACAGACAGGCCUACGCAGGGGUCAUUAGUUGCUCGAGGAUUCGGGCCAGUCUCACGCCCCGUGGCAGCAGUGCUCCUGGUGGACAAAACAACUACGGCCAAGGAAUUAUCGAUGCGAGCUAAUGAAAAAAAAGCAUUCGAGCUCACACAAAAACUUUUCUACUAAUGCGGAUUGAGACGGUGUAGCAUGCGUAUUGAUCGAACUUGGAAAAUGAUCUGAAUAGAUUAUUCCAAAGAAUACAGCAAGACGAUGGUAUCAACGGUCUCGAUCGCGAUGAACGCUGUGAAAAAUUCUCAACUAGAGGACGAACUGUGAAAGCACGAACCAAAAGAGGAAGAAGGAGCCCGGAAACAUAUCUAGUUUUUAUUAGGUCGAGAGUCACAAGUCUGCUGGACCAGUUAAAUAAUUGUUAUUCUUUGUAAGGGACCAAGACGCAAGCUAAUCUGUAAGACUCGGUUGUAGGUUACUCUGGCGAUGACAAUAUUACUAUUUUUAUUAGUAAUUCCAUGGCUCGGUGCGGACGACGAAUAAACGUUCAUUUCCAACUAGGUUAAGUUAUUUAUUCAACUGGUUCGAAGUAUGUUAUCCGAGGAAAGACUUGGAUACGGAAAGUACGAGGCGUGUAAAUAUUUUGAUGAAUACACUGCAACUUUGAUUUAUCGAAUCUUGAAUAGUGCAACAUUCCUCACUGUACGAUUCGCAUCAAUCGAAAAAUUGGGUUCGUUGAACAGAAUCCGUUCCGUUGAAGGAAAUUUUGGUGAAUUUAAAAAUAUUUUAUUUUUAUUACCAAAUGAUGCGGUUUAUUUGACUAAAUUAUGAAAAUUCCUUGUGGCUGCAACAACCAGGUGACCGAAGUCCAAUCAUUGUUCGAUCAAGUCGUAUCUUCUGUUGGCUCACACACAGUUUUCAUUUGCUUCAAUGACUAUUGCUUUGAAUAUUUGUUUAACUGUGAUGAGAAUAAUAAACGAAUGAAUUCAUUUCGAUAUUUUGUUCUGCAUUGGCACGAGUUUGUCUAGGCGUACCAAGGCAAUGUCAGUUCGACCAAAAAGUUGUCUCAGUAUGCAGAAAUUAUUUCGUUUUUGUCUCAAUAUUCUGUUACCCUGACCACAACUGAAUUCUUUGCUCGACAGAAACGUUUUUCUCUGGUCACUUGGGUCGACAGAAUUUUCUUUUUAGUCAAGAUACCGAACGACAAAGUAUGGACAAAGUUGUAAAUUUACAAGUGCGAUGAAGAGUCAGUCCCACCGCUGCUCGAACAAUUGAGGCUGCAGUGUACGAGUGACUUUAUUUCUAUUUAGAAUAUCUUCAUAAUAGAUAAUAGUAUGGAUACAUAGGUAUACAUCAAACGAAGUAUUCGUGUAUGUACAAAUUUGAUAAAUCUAAUGUGUGAGUGCGCAAAUAAAAAUAUACAAAGCGAA
This 2628-nucleotide unclassified non-coding RNA is filed under the name Venturia canescens. Its description in RNAcentral is "g-protein coupled receptor moody-like, transcript variant X1". The record is from RNAcentral. Lineage: Eukaryota; Metazoa; Arthropoda; Insecta; Hymenoptera; Ichneumonidae.